GACGAACGCUGGCGGCGUGCUUAACACAUGCAAGUCGAACGGAAAGGCCCUGCUUUUGUGGGGUGCUCGAGUGGCGAACGCGUGAGUAACACGUGUGUAACCUGCUCUUGACUUUGGGAUAACUUCAGGAAACUGGGGCUACUACCGUAUAGGAGCUCCUGCUGCAUUGUGGGGGUUGGAACGUCUCGGCGGUUGGGGAUGGACGCGCGGCUUAUCAGCUUGUUGGUGGGGUAGUGGCUGACCAAGGCUUUGACGGGUAGCCGGCCUGAGAGGGUGACCGGCCACAUUGGGACUGAGGUAGGCACCAGACUCCUACGGGGGGCAGCAGUGGGGAAUAUUGCACAAUGAGCGGGCGCCUGAUGCAGAAACGCCGCGUGCGGGAUGACGGCCUUCGGGGUGAAAAACGCUGUCGCCUGUGACGAAGCGGGAGUGACGGUAAUCAGUAAAGAAGCACCGGCUAACUACGUG
RNAcentral lists this ribosomal RNA (468 nucleotides) under uncultured bacterium. RNAcentral describes it as "partial 16S ribosomal RNA". It matches the Rfam family "Bacterial small subunit ribosomal RNA", at positions 28 to 507 of the family's 1533-position model. The record is from RNAcentral.